GCAGGUUGACCCAAAAACACCUGGGUGGACGCAAAGGUAUGGAAAUUAGUGAUGGAAACUAAGCUUUGUGUCUGCAUUGACUGACUUGCACUGUGUCUGUUCUUGUUAUGAAGUCUCUAAAAAUUUAUAUGUAGCGUGACUAGGAGACAUUCUGCUAAUCAAACUAUUGUCAGAUCAAUAAAAAUGUAUGUCCAAGCUUGGCCUUGGCUAAAGAUAAAUAAGUCUUCUCGAUAUGUAUAGCCUGGUGUAUGCGGUUUAUUAAGAUGUAAUAAGGGACUGAUUAGUUUGACAUAUUGUCUCGCAAAUGCAGGAUCCGGAUUGGGGCAGCUGCGCUAGGCAGAGCCCCAUGUGCUGAUAGGAUUUCAGCGCUGGAGAAAAUUGUUCAAAGGUGAGACUUAUUUUGAGACGGAGGGAGUAGUUUGGAAGAAUGAUUUGACAUAGUUGGUGAUAUGUGUUUAAAGGAGCAAAUGUAGCUGGUAGUACGCUUUUCUGUAUGUUGCUUGUGCCUGGGUGGUACUUGACACUUCAACCAUGCUGAAUUGUUAGUC
This 548-nucleotide long non-coding RNA is filed under the name Triticum aestivum (bread wheat). RNAcentral's name for it is "long non-coding RNA (TAES_LNC024896)". The record is from RNAcentral. Lineage: Eukaryota; Viridiplantae; Streptophyta; Magnoliopsida; Poales; Poaceae.